UUUAGCUUUCUCGCUGUCUUGGACGGGAAGACUGAAACCAAUUGCAACAAAAAAGAAAAAAGCUCUCUUCUUUGUUCAUCAUCGAUCGAUUCUUCUGCAAAAAGGUUUGUGAGAUUUCGAUAAAACCUAAGAAAUGGAAGAUGUACUUACCGAGAAUCCUCCACCUUCAAGAUUCUUCCAAGAAGAUCUUAACAACUUUGUUCCGCCACCUGAAUCCCUACCAUCUCCUUUCAUCAUAUUCUCAAACCCGAAACCCGAACUUCCUCUCCGACCAUCUCUACUCAUCAUAGCCAUAUCUUCACCUUCCCUCUAUAUUUUCCAUAAUUUACCUUCAAAGACUCUCCUUGGAAGUCUCAUCAUGCAUGAAGUCCCGUUUUCUGGAAACACCAUGGAACCAUUGAGAGAGAGAGAGUUACUUGUUGCAUGCAAGGCAGAACAAAUUGGCACCACGUCAUGGGUCUCGGAUGCUCUCUUCUUGCAUGGAGGUGUCUCUGUAGGUGUCUCCACAUAGCCGUCCAAAUCAGGAGUCUUGUAGCCCAUGAAAUGGAUGAAUCCUUCCACCCAUGGAUUGUGAAAGCUUGAACUCCUUCUCGAAGGAGAGAUCAAAACUAGCCGUGGGAAAUUGCUUUCGGGAAAGAAUUGUAUUGUCAUGUUGAUGACGAGAAAUACGUCGUGGCAAUUCUUUCCCGAAAGCAAUUUCCCAUGGCUAGUUUUGAUCUCUCCUUCGAGAAGGAGUUCAAGCUUUCACACUCCAUGGCUGAAGGAUUCAUCCAUUUCAUGGGCUACAAGAUUCCUGAUUUGGACGGCUAUGUGAAGACACCUACAGAGACACCUACAUGCAAUAAGAGAGCAUCUGAGACCGAUGACGUGGUGCCUGCAAAAAAAGCAAAAACAGAGAAAGUUUUACCGACUAGAAAUUUGUCCGGCCUUGCAUGCAACAAGAAUUUCGGCUCAGCGAAGGCUCUCCAGGAACACAACAAAGCCAAACAUUAAGUGGUUAGGAUAGUAGUACGUUGACGAUUGCCUUUAAUUAGCUUUUUGGUAAUAAAAAAACAUUAAUGACUUUUGGUAACCCUCUAGAUAUGACUAUAUGGAAUUAUUGUAUUGUGUCUGUAAUGUCUUUAACAAUGGUUAUUAAUUUAUUAUAAUCUAAUCUGUAUUUCACAAUUGGGAUCAAAGGUUUGGUUACCACUUACCAAUCAAUUUAUAUUUUAUAAUCAGAGUGAUCAUCUUAUAAUACAAUUCCUUGUAUUGUUAUAAUGUCAUCUCAAAAUUAGCUCCCUUGCAACAGAUUAACACUAACUGAAUUUUUUGGUUUAAUGCAUAAUUUGAUCAUCA
Molecule: RNA transcript, 1338 nt
Organism: Arabidopsis lyrata subsp. lyrata
Lineage: Eukaryota; Viridiplantae; Streptophyta; Magnoliopsida; Brassicales; Brassicaceae
Exons: 4
Source: RefSeq, a predicted model, not a curated record